UUGACCUCGGAUCAGGUGGGACUACCCGCUGAACUUAA
This 38-nucleotide ribosomal RNA is filed under the name Cercophora acanthigera. Its description in RNAcentral is "partial 28S ribosomal RNA". The record is from RNAcentral. Lineage: Eukaryota; Fungi; Ascomycota; Sordariomycetes; Sordariales; Lasiosphaeriaceae.